Molecule: long non-coding RNA, 1121 nt
Organism: Homo sapiens (human)
Lineage: Eukaryota; Metazoa; Chordata; Mammalia; Primates; Hominidae
Source: Ensembl
UAAUUAGCAUGCACAUUCCAGUUUGAGAAAAGCGGCACUAAAAAGCUUUGUCAAAUAGGCAGUGUGCUCCCAUUUCUCGGUAUUGUGCCUGUGACAGGCAUCAAUAAUCAACCAGAGAAUCACUUCCUUCUGAGAGCAGAAUAUUCUCAAGUCAUGGUUUCAGGUCGCAGUGACCAAUCAAUGGGAGUUGGAUCAAAAUUAAACCUAUCUUCCAUACUGGUGUCAACACUUGAAGAAAGCUCUUUUAUUUCCACCCAUAUACACAUCAUACAUGCCUGAUAAAUGUUUGUGGAAUGAAUGUGUUUUCCCCUAGCCUUGUUUCCUGUGAUAUUCACACUAUUCCAGUCCAUACCCACAGAAAAUCAGAACUUCACUGGGCAUCUGGGAAGUUCAGCAGCUGUUCUAGGUGUUGGAUUUUGCUAUUGGCCAUGACCCAUUAGAAGGUUGAGGUGAGGUUGGAAAGAUGUUAGGGAUGGAAUGAAGACACUUGGGAACCCAUCUCGCUGUGGCACAUGGACCUCAAACCAUGCAAGUUUUCUUUUUUCUUUCUUUCUUUUUUUCUUUUUCUUGAGAUGGAGUCUUGCUCUGUCUCCCAGGCUGGAGUGCAAGGGCGCGAUCUCGGCUUACUGCACCCUCUGCCUCCCAGGUUCAAGCUACUCUCCUGCCUCAGCCUCCUGAGUAGCUGGGAUUACAGGGGCAUGCCACCAUGCCCAGCUAACUUUUGUAUUUUUAGUAGAGACGGGGUCUCACCAUGUCAGCCAGGCUUGUCUCAAACUCCUGACCUCAGGUGAUCCGCCCACCUCUGCCUCCCAAAGUACUGGGAUUACAGGCGUGAGUCACCAUGCUUGGCCGCAAGUUUUCUUCAGGACAUGGCCCCAUGUAGUCCAGCUCUACAAGGUGGCUGCUGUGUGAACUAGGCUACAUGCCGAAACGGGACUGUCGGGGGAAUCAGCAGGGGGGGCAGACCAACAGCCCUGUAAGACAUAGCAAUAAUGAUUAUAAAUAGCAUCCUUCUGACCGCCUUUUGAUGUACUGUCCAAGGCCAGGUGGAAAAUCUUUCCUCCCCUGCCUUUCCCCACUAAUCACCUUCCCCUCAUUUUUCAAUAAAGAUUCUGAGCCCA